RNAcentral lists this non-coding RNA (43 nucleotides) under Octactis speculum. The record is from RNAcentral. Lineage: Eukaryota; Dictyochophyceae; Dictyochales; Dictyochaceae.
GCACCCCUCCUGGUCCAGAACGAGCGAGAAAGAUUUCCCGCUC